This 253-nucleotide ribosomal RNA is filed under the name uncultured prokaryote. RNAcentral describes it as "partial 16S ribosomal RNA". It matches the Rfam family "Bacterial small subunit ribosomal RNA", at positions 525 to 777 of the family's 1533-position model. The record is from RNAcentral.
ACGUAGGGUGCGAGCGUUAAUCGGAAUUACUGGGCGUAAAGCGUGCGUAGGCGGUUCGUUAUGUCUGCUGUGAAAGCCCCGGGCUUAACCUGGGAAUGGCAGUGGAAACUGGCGGGCUUGAGUGUGGCAGAGGGGGGUGGAAUUCCGCGUGUAGCAGUGAAAUGCGUAGAGAUGCGGAGGAACACCGAUGGCGAAGGCAGCCCCCUGGGCUGACACUGACGCUGAGGCACGAAAGCGUGGGGAGCAAACAGGA